UUACAAUGGAGAGUUUGAUCCUGGCUCAGGAUGAACGCUAGCGGCAGGCCUAAUACAUGCAAGUCGAACGAUACUCUC
This 78-nucleotide ribosomal RNA is filed under the name Pedobacter nyackensis. Its description in RNAcentral is "16S rRNA. Bacterial SSU". It matches the Rfam family "Bacterial small subunit ribosomal RNA", at positions 1 to 76 of the family's 1533-position model. Lineage: Bacteria; Pseudomonadati; Bacteroidota; Sphingobacteriia; Sphingobacteriales; Sphingobacteriaceae. The record is from RNAcentral.